Molecule: ribosomal RNA, 354 nt
Filed under: uncultured Bacteroidota bacterium
Lineage: Bacteria; Pseudomonadati; Bacteroidota
Description: bacterial SSU rRNA
Rfam family: Bacterial small subunit ribosomal RNA
Source: RNAcentral
ACUCUGAUCCAGCCAUGCCGCGUGCAGGAAGACUGCCCUAUGGGUUGUAAACUGCUUUUAUACAGGAAGAAACACGGCUACGUGUAGCCCACUGACGGUACUGUACGAAUAAGGACCGGCUAACUCCGUGCCAGCAGCCGCGGUAAUACGGAGGGUCCGAGCGUUAUCCGGAAUUAUUGGGUUUAAAGGGUCCGUAGGCGGGCAUUAAGUCCAGGGGUGAAAGUCUCCGCCCUCACCCCUGAAAAACCCCCCUUUAACUCCUGCUCUUCUUGAGUUAUAGUGAAGUGGCGAGAAUAUGUAGUGUAGCGGUGAAAUGCAUAGAUAUUACAUAGAACACCGAUUGCGAAGGCAGAA